CUGCCACCCAGCCUGCCAACCUGGACCUCUGCCUCUACUCUGUCUCAACCAGUUUGUGUUAGUGUUUUUCCUCGAAGGCAGGGAGGAGCUCUCAAGCGGAACAAAGCAUUUCCUCUGGGAGGCUAAUUGCUCAGUGACUCUUCUUUAAUAUGCAGAAACAUUGCUCUGGGCAGCUAGUCUGUGUUCCUGUGGCCACGUCUCUCAGAAAGAUAUCUCCUUGCCUUUUUUCCUUGUCUCCAGUUCUGCCUAUAGGUAUUUAAUUGAGUUAGAAAGUCACAGUCCACCUGCAAAGUUAGGACUACUUGCCACCUGUUAAAGGGCUGCUCAUUGUCCUUGGAUGUGCUCUUCCCAAGGUCUGAGCACAGGAACAACCUGAAUUUCCCAGGUUGUUGGGGGGACAGAGCAGAAUGUCCUAGAUGCCAAAGUUGCUUAUGUGGAGAUUCAUGCCUUGAGUUCUUCAUUCACUGUUUCCUGGAUGCCUACUUAAAACCCAAAAGGAAGGUUUGCUAUUUUUGCUGCUGCACAGGCAGGAGAGGGUGUGUGGGACUGGGAGUCAGGACUGUGUGUCCUCUCAGCACUGCAAGAGAGCUGCCACAGCUGCACCACCACUGCCAGAGCCACCACAUCAGCACCACCACCACCGGAGCUGCCUGGGACCAUGGCUGCUGCUUUCACCAGCUGCCACUAUGCCAGAACCCACACCAGCAUCUUGGCAGAAUAAAUACUUUUGGACAAAAUAGGCUUCCAGGUUUUGUUUUGCCCCUGUUCCCCAUUGUUUUUGUCUGCCCAGGGAAGGCGUUAAACUGGAGAAACUUGUUUACCGCAUUACUUUCAUUUUUUUCCCAGGCCAUGUGGUGCACAGCAAGGGAAUGGGUGCCAUUUUUGGUUUUGCCCUAGGGAUGGGGGGCCAGACAACAUUUUGCCUUUAUUGGUUUUGUGGGUUGACCAUUUUUCUCUGUACUGUUGUUAUUGGUAAUUUUACCUCAGUAAAAUUGUGACUAACAUUUUUAACUGGUUGCAGUCUUGUUUUCUUUGUUUUCCCCUUCCACUAUCAUACAGGGGUGGCUCGAACAGUCUUAACUUUUCCUCCCUGGCAUUUUAAAACCAGUACAGGGGUCCAAGAGAGCUGAUCAAUAUUCAAACACCAUUUCCUCCAAGGCUCAAGAAUGGGUCAUCCCAAUGAGGAAGAAAUUGGACAAAAGGGGCAAGAGACAUGCAUAGACAACCAAGGAACUCCUGUGAAUACUCAAAUACAAGCAGGAGAUAUAGAGGACCUGGAAGCAGGGACAGGCCACUUAAAAUCAAUAUAGGGAUGUUGUCAGAGCAUGUAGAAAUGAGACCAGGAAGACCAAUGCCCAACCGGAAUUAAAUCUGGCCAAGGAUGUCAAGAACAACAAGAAGGGCUUCUUCAAAUACAUC
RNAcentral lists this long non-coding RNA (1419 nucleotides) under Manacus vitellinus (golden-collared manakin). Its description in RNAcentral is "lncRNA (ENSMVIG00005013912.1)". The record is from RNAcentral. Lineage: Eukaryota; Metazoa; Chordata; Aves; Passeriformes; Pipridae.